This is a non-coding RNA of Coturnix japonica (Japanese quail), 614 nucleotides long. Lineage: Eukaryota; Metazoa; Chordata; Aves; Galliformes; Phasianidae. The record is from RefSeq and is a predicted model, not a curated record.
CUGCCUGCACAGAACAUCCCAUGUGGGCUGAAACACCAACCUGCAGAGCAGUGCCAGGGAGCCCUCUGAAGCAGAAGUCUUGGUCCUGGCAGGUGACUCGAGCCCUUGUCUAUCCCAGCGACAAAGGGCAUUUGAUGAUGACGCAUCCUGUGCUUCCCUCAAUGGAGAGCUCAUGGGAAGCACAGGAUGCUGCAGUUCAAGUGACAGCCUUCCAUAUGAAAUCAGCAAUGGAGAGAAGAACGUCAUCAUUGUGCAAGCUCUAAUUCAUCCCCAUACCCUCCUGAAGCUGCCUGAUCCUGACAAGCCUGCCAGACACUACAAGCACCAGCCAGGACUCUGACCCAGAGCUUUUCGAGGACAGCCCAGCCCAAGCACAGCCCGAGUGCCCCAACAGCGACACCACCAUGCAGGCUCAGGUCAGCGUCACAGAGGAGAAGGCAAGCAUCUCGGAGGAGGCUGUAGAAUCAGGCCAUGAGUCCCAGGCUCCGAGCAACAGCCUAGGCUCAGAACCACAAUGUCCUUAACAACAGAGGAUUGGUCCCAUCUUAAAGCCUGGACCUCUCACGCCCUCCCUUGUUCCAUUUGAAUAAAAGCACGCUCGUGCUCAAUCAACA